RNAcentral lists this ribosomal RNA (488 nucleotides) under Annona sp. ZAO-2017. Its description in RNAcentral is "SSU rRNA". The stretch from base 1 to 362 matches the Rfam family "Eukaryotic small subunit ribosomal RNA", at positions 242 to 602 of the family's 1831-position model. The record is from RNAcentral. Lineage: Eukaryota; Viridiplantae; Streptophyta; Magnoliopsida; Magnoliales; Annonaceae.
UCUGAUGAUUCCAUGAUACUUGACGGAUCGCACGGCCCUCGUGCCGGCGACGCCUCAUUCAAAUUUCUGCCCUAUCAACUUUCGAUGGCUAUGAUAUUGGCCUACGACGGUGGUGACGGGUGACGGAGAAUUAGGGUUCGAUUCCAGAUAGUAUCCUGAUAAACGGCUACCACAUCCAAGGAUGGCAGCAAGCACGCAAAUUCCCCAAUCCUGACAUGGGGAUGUAGUGACAAUAAAUAACUAUACCGUUCCCCUUCGAUUCUGGUAAUUUGAAUGAUUACCCUCUUAAAUCCCUUAACGAGGAUCAACUUAAGACCCAGCCUCGUUCCUCAUCCCCCUUAAUUCCAUCUCCCAUAUCGUAUCCUUCAUUUUUAUCUCUCUGUAACAUUUAGCUUCUCCCGCCAUACUACCGUUCUCUCUUCCCCUGAUACCACACUUACACUUUCCCUACCUCUUCGUACUCCAAAUCUCCUUUUGCUUUCUCUUUU